Molecule: long non-coding RNA, 1182 nt
Filed under: Homo sapiens (human)
Lineage: Eukaryota; Metazoa; Chordata; Mammalia; Primates; Hominidae
Description: HSALNT0308484
Source: RNAcentral
ACUCCCCAAGUAAGCAGGCAGAGACAGAGACCUGAGUCCUACUGCUGAGUCAUUUAAAUCUGCUUUAGAUCGGGUUUUCCCAGGGCAUGGAAAGGACAGGGCUCCCAGUGGAGAUAUCAUGUAGCUAUAGGGCCUAGAAGUAUUUUUUCAGUAGAUGAAAUUUAGAAAUAAUUUGAAUAUUUUAUGCUGGGGAGGUAGCUUGUGGAGUGAAAUGGUCGGGUAAAGGAAACACUGAGUUCAAGUGCUUCUUUAUAAAGGACACUUAACUGAUCUAAAUAUUUGUCAAGCUGAAUCGCUACAUCCACUCUCACCUGCCUGAAAUCAAUAUGCUCAAGUCAAACGCAUUUGCCUGCAUCUGAAUGUGGAGAAUGAACUUCUUAAAGCUGAACUGGCAGCUGGAAGGGGAGAGAGAAGAGCUGGACAGGGAGCCAGGACACCGGAGUUCUUUUCCACUGUGGUGGGAUCUGGAAGAAGCUGUUGAAUCUCUGUAGAGUUAGCUUUUAAAUGCUGUGAGUCUUUGGAAAGCUGUGCGAAUAACUGCUAAACACCCAGGACAGCUUAUGCAUUUUUUGAAAAAGGUUCCUGGUGCUGGUUCCAGCAGAAUAGACACAGAGAUGCAUGGCCUAACUCCCACUCCCUCUUCAGGACUGAGCCACGCAGCCCCCCAUCUGCCAGAAGUGUUAGCUGUUGACGGCUCACAGCUGAGUCCCUCUCCAGGCAUUGCUGAAAAGAGCCACCUUGCUCUAGGAUGUGCCCCCACCCUGGGGGCAGCAUACAUUCCAAGUGAUUAGUCCAUAGUGUGGUACAAAGGUUGUACCCAUCUUGCCUGAAUUCAGGAUCUCUUGGAAAACCACCCCAGCUCUGCAGCUCCUGGUGGGGUGCUGAGGCCUCUGCUGCAGCUGCAUCGCAGUUUACUUUCCCCUCUGCCUAGUCCUGCUGCCUUCACUCCCCAACAGGUAUUGUUCCCCAGAGAACUCCCUGCCCCCAGUCACCUGUAAGCAAAUCUCCACUGCAGUCUGUGGCCUGGGAAACCUGCUCUAGGAUCCCAAAGUGAACACAGCUUCCCAUUGAAAUGUGUCUUUGGGUGUUAAUCUGUCCUGCCAUCUUUACAUCUAAUCAAGAGGUAGAGCUUCCCCUGGUGUUCCUGCUGGGUACAUAAAGGAUCUUUUCCAUUGUCUUUUA